GGUGUCCUGGCGCAAUGGUAGCGCGUUGGUUUUCGGUUUCAGCCGAAACUCGCCAAAGGUUGUAGGUUCGAGCCCUGCGGACAUCG
This 86-nucleotide transfer RNA is filed under the name Macroventuria anomochaeta. RNAcentral describes it as "tRNA-Arg". It matches the Rfam family "tRNA". Rfam says of the family: Transfer RNA (tRNA) molecules are approximately 80 nucleotides in length. Their secondary structure includes four short double-helical elements and three loops (D, anti-codon, and T loops). Lineage: Eukaryota; Fungi; Ascomycota; Dothideomycetes; Pleosporales; Didymellaceae. The record is from RNAcentral.